UACGAAGGGUGCAAACGUUGCUCGGAAUUAUUGGGCGUAAAGCGCACGUAGGCGGAUCUUUAAGUCAGAGGUGAAAUCCCAAGGCUCAACCUUGGAACUGCCUUUGAUACUGGGGAUCUUGAGUCCGGGAGAGGUGAGUGGAACUGCGAGUGUAGAGGUGAAAUUCGUAGAUAUUCGCAAGAACACCAGUGGCGAAGGCGGCUCACUGGCCCGGUACUGACGCUGAGGUGCGAAAGCGUGGGGAGCAAACAGG
Molecule: ribosomal RNA, 253 nt
Filed under: uncultured bacterium
Lineage: Bacteria
Description: partial 16S ribosomal RNA
Rfam family: Bacterial small subunit ribosomal RNA
Source: RNAcentral